ACCUGACUGCUAUCGGAUUGAUACUAACCCAUGCGAGUCUUUGUAGUAAUACAAGGCAGACGGCUCAGUAACACGUAGUCAACCUACCCUAUGGACGAGAAUAAUCUCGGGAAACUGAGCAUAAUUCUCGGUAGAUCAUAAUGCCUGGAAUGGUUUAUGGUUAAAAUGAUUCUUCGCCAUAGGAUGGGACUGCGGCCUAUCAGCUUGUUGGUGAGGUAAUGGCCCACCAAGGCGAUUACAGGUACGGGCUCUGAGAGGAGAAGCCCGGAGAUGGGUACUGAGACACGGACCCAGGCCCUAUGGGGCGCAGCAGGCGAGAAAACUUUGCAAUGUGCGAAAGCACGACAAGGUUAAUCCGAGUGAUUUCUGCUAAAGAAAUCUUUUACCAGUCGUAAAACCACUGGCGAAUAAGGGGUGGGCAAGUUCUGGUGUCAGCCGCCGCGGUAAAACCAGCACCUCAAGUGGUCAGGAUGAUUAUUGGGCCUAAAGCAUCCGUAGCCUGCUUUGUAAGUUUUCGGUUAAAUCCAUGUGCUCAACGCAUGGGCUGCCGAAAAUACUGCAUCGCUAGGGAGUGGGAGAGGUAGACGGUACUCGGUAGGAAGGGGUAAAAUCCUUUGAUCUAUUGAUGACCACCUGUGGCGAGGGCGGUCUACCAGAACACGUUCGACGGUGAGGGAUGAAAGCUGGGGGAGCAAACCGGAUUAGAUACCCGGGUAGUCCCAGCUGUAAACGAUGCAGACUCGAUGAUGCAUUGGCAUAAUAGCCAGUGCAGUGUCGCAGGGAAGCCGUUAAGUCUGCCGCCUGGGAAGUACGUACGCAAGUAUGAAACUUAAAGGAAUUGGCGGGGGAGCACCACAAGGGGUGAAGCCUGCGGUUCAAU
This 880-nucleotide ribosomal RNA is filed under the name uncultured marine group I thaumarchaeote. Its description in RNAcentral is "SSU rRNA". It matches the Rfam family "Archaeal small subunit ribosomal RNA", at positions 21 to 906 of the family's 1478-position model. The record is from RNAcentral. Lineage: Archaea; Thermoproteati; Nitrososphaerota.